Molecule: ribosomal RNA, 459 nt
Filed under: uncultured bacterium
Lineage: Bacteria
Description: bacterial SSU rRNA
Rfam family: Bacterial small subunit ribosomal RNA
Source: RNAcentral
AACGAACGCUAGCGGGAUGCCUCAAACAUGCAAGUCGUACGAGAAAGGUCCUUCGGGAACGAGUAAAGUGGCGCACGGGUGCGUAACACGUAGCUAACGUACCUCUUCGCUGGGGACAACUCCGGGAAACCGGAGCUAAUACCGAAUGAUCUAAUACGGUCUGCGGACUGUAUUGGUAAAGCCUUCGGGCGCGAAGAGAUCGGGCUGCGGUCCAUUAGCUUGAUGGUAGGGUAACGGCCUACCGUGGCGACGAUGGAUAGCUGGUCUGAGAGGAUGAUCAGCCACACUGGAACUGACACACGGUCCAGACUCCCACGGGAGGCAGCAGUUGGGGAUAUUGGACAAUGGGGGUAACCCUGAUCCAGCAAUCCGCGUGAGUGAUGAAGGCUCUAGGGUCGUAAAGCUCUUUCAGCAGGGAAGAAGGGAAACUUGACGGUACCUGCAGAAGAAGCACCGGCU